AUACGUAGGGUGCGAGCGUUAAUCGGAAUUACUGGGCGUAAAGCGUGCGCAGGUGGUUUUGUAAGUCAGAUGUGAAAUCCCCGGGCUUAACCUGGGAACUGCGUUUGAAACUGCAAGGCUAGAGUGUGGCAGAGGGGGGUGGAAUUCCGCGUGUAGCAGUGAAAUGCGUAGAUAUGUGGAGGAACACCGAUGGCGAAGGCAGCCCCCUGGGUCAACACUGACGCUCAGGCACGAAAGCAUGGGGAGCAAACAGGAUUAGAUACCCGGGUAGUCC
RNAcentral lists this ribosomal RNA (274 nucleotides) under uncultured bacterium. Its description in RNAcentral is "partial 16S ribosomal RNA". It matches the Rfam family "Bacterial small subunit ribosomal RNA", at positions 523 to 796 of the family's 1533-position model. The record is from RNAcentral.